This is a non-coding RNA of Pogona vitticeps (central bearded dragon), 1161 nucleotides long. The record is from RefSeq and is a predicted model, not a curated record. NCBI's taxonomy places the organism in Eukaryota, Metazoa, Chordata, Lepidosauria, Squamata, Agamidae.
AGUCCUUCACCGAGAUUCUUCCACAGGGCUUUGUCGGGGUGCUGAAGCUGCCGCCUGUGUUCUGCUGAUCUGGGACCAGCUGUUGAUGCAAGACUGGGACCCCCGCGUGAUGCACGAUUUUUGUGCCUCCGCCUUUCUGCUGUUGAAGGAUUCGUUUCUGGCAGCUGAGGACCACCAAGCGAUUUGAGAGGUGUUUCUGUCUUGCGCUUCCCGUCUUCUUACACCUGAUAUUCAGAGGGCUUGGAUUCACUUGCAGCAGGGAGGGUCGCCUGCUGACAUUCCCGGGUUUAACAGGCUGAACCAGAGGCCGCUUGUGGAUCUCUCCCCUCCGAGGCACUGCUGAGCAUUAGCUUGGAGGACGCAUUUGAGUGCUACGGAGGUCGCACCAACCGGAGUGAAGGAUAUUUUAUUGACAAUAGCUUUACCAGAUCCUCAGGCUGAGGCAGUAGACCCUAACCGUUUGCACUUGACUCUGUGGAUUUGACGACGUUCCUCGAUGUGCCGGCCUCAAAAUCGUACUUUUUGCUGGAAGUCACGCGCAACCCCGAGGGAAAUGAUUCUGCCGAGGGCUGUUCCACUCUCCAGCUGACGGUGUAUGACAUGGUCAGGCAAAGGCUGAACCUGGCAAGCAGCCCAGAGAGGAACGAAAGGGUUCAAGGAUCCCCCUUCCUCUAUCCUCUGUGGGUCCCGCACGAUCCUAGUUUUGCAUUGCCAGGUCCUCCAAAGACAGACCAGCCCUUUGAUCUCUAUAUUGAUGCCCUGCAUUAUAUACCCAAUAAUGCCACGAUUGCCAAGGUAACAGGGCAGUUCAAGGAUUCGGGCUUAAGCCAUUUGCCACCUAUCGUAGCCUUCCCUGUUCUCCAGAGUCCAGCUCGAAAUCCUGAAUUCCGGUAUUGAGUUGCAAUCAACGAAGGCCGUUCCAGCAACACUCGGCUUGUCUUUCACGUGCAUACAAUUGAUGCUGAUUCCGGCGACCUCAUUCUGCUAGGAAGCUGCGUCAUGCCGGCCUUUAACGCUCAAGGUGAACUCAACGUGGGAGGGUUCCAGCUAAAACUGAGGGCCGGUUUGCUGACCGAUGGACUAUCGUCUCUUGCCCUGUCUUCCCCGGAGCAGCCCACGACCGUCCCUUGCUGUACUCUGCUGAUCCGACUCCUACCCCAU